RNAcentral lists this ribosomal RNA (334 nucleotides) under uncultured soil bacterium. RNAcentral's name for it is "bacterial SSU rRNA". It matches the Rfam family "Bacterial small subunit ribosomal RNA", at positions 26 to 386 of the family's 1533-position model. The record is from RNAcentral.
AGAACGAACGCUGGCGGUAUGCCUAACACAUGCAAGUCGAACGAGACCUUCGGGUCUAGUGGCGCACGGGUGCGUAACGCGUGGGAAUCUGCCCUUGGGUUCGGGAUAACAGUUGGAAACGACUGCUAAUACCGGAUGAUGUCUUCGGACCAAAGAUUUAUCGCCCAAGGAUGAGCCCGCGUAGGAUUAGCUUGUUGGUGAGGUAAGAGCUCACCAAGGCGACGAUCCUUAGCUGGUCUGAGAGGAUGAUCAGCCACACUGGGACUGAGACACGGCCCAGACUCCUACGGGAGGCAGCAGUGGGGAAUAUUGGACAAGUGGGCGAAAAGCCUGA